GAUCACAAACUUGUUAGUCUCAUGUCACUGCAGGUUGUUUGUGGAAACAGGAAGAGUACCUGGAUCUCUUCACUGUUAGUCCCAUGCAUGGGUCACCACACUAGACACUUCUGUGCCUUAAAUUUCCUGUGUACCACAAACUGGCUGCAGGGCUGCUGUCUCCAUACAUUCUUAUACAGAACUCAAGGAGCUAUAUGCUUUCCCAGUGUGAGAAACUAUGCUUCUUCUUCAGAAAAGCUCACCUAACAAGGGCAAGCUGCAACAUGGAAGUUGGAGAGAAGACUAAAUAGAGGAUGCUGGACAAGUUAACAGCAAACUGGACUCUGAGACUAACUUGAAUAUGGAAAGGUUGCCUAACAUUGAUUGGUGUAUGAGGAUACAAAACAAAUGGCUGGAAUUAUAUUUGAACAUGGCUUAAUUCUCUACUUGAGGAGACAGUGGAAGAAGAGAAGUUAGAGACGUGCUGCCUGGUUUAAUCAUUGUAAAAAACAGUGCAAUCCCUCUGGGCCCUCUGUCAUUGGUUAGCAGCAUUAAUGAUUCUGAACAGCAAACCCACAUUUAUGGGUUCUUUUGUCUCAAAGUUGUGCAACUUACCUCACUUCAGAUGAGUCAUGAUUUCAUUUGAUAAUAGAAUGUAACUUGAGACAUAAUUGCAGAGAAAAGAAGAAAACCUGUG
Pezoporus flaviventris is the source of this 676-nucleotide long non-coding RNA. RefSeq lists it as uncharacterized. NCBI's taxonomy places the organism in Eukaryota, Metazoa, Chordata, Aves, Psittaciformes, Psittacidae. The transcript has 4 exons. The record is from RefSeq and is a predicted model, not a curated record.